CAAUGGCAACCAGACCUGCUUGAUAAGCAAACCCAAUCAAACAAAUUCUUCCCGUAGCGCCGCGGCCUGCAAUCGGAAUUUUGUGAAGAAGAAAGCAAACCCAUUUGCUGUUGUUGAUGUUCAUCCACUUUUUUGCCUUCAUAAACAAUGGAGAGUCGGAGGAACUGAUCUAAUAACACCUUGGCAUCAGUGCAUAAGCGGAUGUAUUUCUCCAACAAAUUUCUCCUUCUAUUGUUUUCUUCAUUGAUAUACACUCUUAAUUGUUCUCGGGUCAGUUGGCUUCUUGCUAAUCUUCCAACUGAAACCAAAAUUUAAAAAAAUGCUGCAACUCAGACAAAUUCAUGAACAUAGAUGAAUAUCAAACCAAUGAAUAUGCUAACUUUCUCGUGAUCAUAUCUUUUUUCUCGUGUGUCUGAAGAGAUUCUCCAUUGUGUAAACAAGGCGAGGAUCACAUUAGAUUCAACACAUUUUGCUCUUAGUGUUCUUUCCAUCAUCUAAAGAAUGAUUCAUUCCUACAAUCUAGACUUGAGUUUGACUCUUUUGGAAAGAAAAAGAUAGUCAAAAGAGGCAAAAGGAACAAAAUAAUGGCAUUUCACUAUGACCCGUAUUCAUCAAACAUCAUCUGUAGGCAUAUUAUAGAAGAAAAAUAACCUAGAAAAGUUGUUGAUGACUGAUCUGCGAAUCUUUGAUUAUGAUCUGAAAGAUGGAAAAAAAAAAGGAAAGAAAGGUAUAAAUCUUGAUUACCUGGUGUAGGGAUGUAGGUGAGAAGAGGAAAAACAUGGACGAGAAAGACACAACAACCUGGUGAGACGACAUGAUUAAGGGCCCAUUUAAGCACAUCUAUAUCAUCUUUACCCACGGCGACGUAGACGUCAGUUGCAGCACCGUCUCUGCUACUAAUAAUAGUCUUACUUUCCUCUCCGAUCUCAACGAUUUCUGGCGACAUGAUCCUUGCACUGAAACAUUGCAGUUGCAACUCUGUUGGUCUCCCUUGAAAGUCCUCUUCCAUUCUUAGCUCUCUCUCUUUCUCUUUUGCUAUAACAAUGAGAACUGAUAUGAGAAUGAAAAUGACAAGAAUGUGUUUUAGUGGGGUGAAAGUAUACAAAAGAGAAAAAAGAGAGAAAAAGAGGAUAGAUUCUCUUGUAUCAUGGGCCUGCAACUUCAUUGUUAUGUCAACAUUUGUUUUUUUCCCCUUGUUGUAUGUCUUUGGUUAAGUCAAAUAGAUGAGAUGAAAAAACCAAAGAAAUUCUUCUGAUUUGCUUCUCUCAAAGUGAAAAGUGUGACCCUUAUUUCCUUAGCUUUAACCACAUGAAUAAAGAACUCUUAUCAGUUUGAUUUUUC
Long non-coding RNA from Cucumis melo (muskmelon), 1341 nucleotides. RefSeq lists it as uncharacterized. Lineage: Eukaryota; Viridiplantae; Streptophyta; Magnoliopsida; Cucurbitales; Cucurbitaceae. The transcript is spliced from 2 exons. The record is from RefSeq and is a predicted model, not a curated record.